AGGAGCAACCAUAUCAGCACUAAUGCAUGGGAUUCCAUCCGAACUCCGAAGUUAAGCGUGCUUGAGCAAGAAUAGUUCUAAGAUGGACCUGUCUUAUGACUU
This 102-nucleotide ribosomal RNA is filed under the name Cephalotus follicularis. Lineage: Eukaryota; Viridiplantae; Streptophyta; Magnoliopsida; Oxalidales; Cephalotaceae. The record is from RNAcentral.